GACGAACGCUGGCGGCGUGCUUAACACAUGCAAGUCGAACGGAAAGUCCCUGCUUUUGUGGGGUGCUCGAGUUGCGAACGGGUGAGUAACACGUGAGUAACCUGCCCUUGACUUUGGGAUAACUUCAUGAAACUUGGGCUAAUACCGGAUAGGAGCUCCUGCUUCAUGGUGGGGGUUGGAAAGUUUCGGCGGUUGGUGAUGGACUGGCGGCUUAUCAGCUUGUUGGUGGGGUAGUGGCUUACCAAGGCUUUGACGGGUAGCCGGGCUGAGCGGGUGACAGGCCACAUUGGGACUGAGCUAAGGCCCAGACUCCUACGGGAGGCAGAAGUGGGGAAUAGUGCACAAUGGGAGGAAGCCUGAUGCAGCAAAGCAGCGUGCGGGAUGAAGGCAUUCGGGUUGUAAACCGAUUUCGCCUGUGACGAAGCGUGAGUGACGGUAAUGGGUAAAGAAGCACCGGCUAACUACGUG
This 468-nucleotide ribosomal RNA is filed under the name uncultured bacterium. RNAcentral describes it as "partial 16S ribosomal RNA". It matches the Rfam family "Bacterial small subunit ribosomal RNA", at positions 28 to 507 of the family's 1533-position model. The record is from RNAcentral.